This 409-nucleotide ribosomal RNA is filed under the name uncultured bacterium. Its description in RNAcentral is "bacterial SSU rRNA". It matches the Rfam family "Bacterial small subunit ribosomal RNA", at positions 92 to 518 of the family's 1533-position model. The record is from RNAcentral.
UUAGCGGCGGAUGGGUGAGGAACGCGUGGAGAACCUGCCCUUCACAGGGGGAUAACAGCUGGAAACGGCUGUUAAUACCGCAGUAUGCUCACAGCACCGCAGUGGUGCAGGGAGGAAAGCCGAGACGGUGAAGGAUGGCUCCGCGUCGGAUUAGCCGGUUGCGGGUAACGGCCCACCAAAGCGAUGAUCCGUAGCCGGCCUGAGAGGGCGACCGGCCACAUUGGGACUGAGACACGGCCCAAACUCCUACGGGAGGCAGCAGUGGGGGAUAUUGCACAAUGGGGGAAACCCUGAUGCAGCGACGCCGCGUGAAGGAAGACGUGCUCCGGCUAUGUAAACUUCUAUCAGCAGGGAAGAAGAUGACGGUACCUGACUAAGAAGCCCCGGCUAACUACGUGCCAGCAGCAGC